RNAcentral lists this transfer RNA (62 nucleotides) under Ugyops sp. APL-2018. RNAcentral's name for it is "tRNA-Ser". Lineage: Eukaryota; Metazoa; Arthropoda; Insecta; Hemiptera; Delphacidae. The record is from RNAcentral.
AGUUAAAAGCAAAAGCAUUAUGUCUUGAAAACAUAAAAAAGAAAUAUAACUUCUAUUAACUU